This 25-nucleotide non-coding RNA is filed under the name Rattus norvegicus (Norway rat). The record is from RNAcentral. Lineage: Eukaryota; Metazoa; Chordata; Mammalia; Rodentia; Muridae.
GGAUAAAGUGUGAACUCCUCAGUGG